UUUAAAAGAAAAUAGCAGGAACGUUUGACUCUUCGUCUUCAUCAGACUCAUAAUGUUCCUCAAAUUCAUCCUCAAGCAGCUUUUGUAAUUCUUCUUCAUGUUGUCUUUC
This 109-nucleotide non-coding RNA is filed under the name Aureoumbra lagunensis. The record is from RNAcentral. Lineage: Eukaryota; Pelagophyceae; Sarcinochrysidales; Sarcinochrysidaceae.